Propithecus coquereli (Coquerel's sifaka) is the source of this 380-nucleotide RNA transcript. It is a transcript of the gene named protein cornichon homolog 4 pseudogene, with no coding region annotated. The transcript has a single exon. Lineage: Eukaryota; Metazoa; Chordata; Mammalia; Primates; Indriidae. The record is from RefSeq and is a predicted model, not a curated record.
UUCAUAAUUACAUUGUCUGAUUUAGAGUGUGAUUACAUUAAUGCCAGAUCAUGUUGCUCAAAAUUAAACAAGUGAGUAAUUCCAGAAUUGAUUGGCCAUACCAUUGUCACUAUAUUAAUGCUCAUUUCAUUGCACUGGUUCAUCUUCCUUCUCAAUUUACCUGUUGCCACUUGGAAUAUAUAUCAAUACAUUAUGGUGCCAAGUGGUAACAUGGGAGUGUUUGAUCCAACAGAAAUACACAACAGAGGGCAGCUGAAGUCACACAUGAUCAAGCUUGGUUUCCACCUGCUCUGUUUCUUCAUGUAUCUUUAUAGUAUGAUUUUAGCUUUGAUAAAUGACUGAAGCUGGAGAAGCUGUGGUUGAAGUCAACCUACAGCACA